RNAcentral lists this ribosomal RNA (253 nucleotides) under uncultured Planctomyces sp. RNAcentral's name for it is "partial 16S ribosomal RNA". It matches the Rfam family "Bacterial small subunit ribosomal RNA", at positions 524 to 776 of the family's 1533-position model. The record is from RNAcentral. Lineage: Bacteria; Pseudomonadati; Planctomycetota; Planctomycetia; Planctomycetales; Planctomycetaceae.
UACGAACUGUGCGAACGUUAUUCGGAAUCACUGGGCUUACAGGGUGCGUAGGCGGCUCGUUAAGCAGGGUGUGAAAUCCUCCGGCUCAACCGGGGAACGGCGCUCUGGACUGGCGGGCUUGAGUGUGCUAGGGGUGUGUGGAACUUCCAGUGGAGCGGUGAAAUGUGUUGAUAUUGGAAGGAACACCGGUGGCGAAAGCGACACACUGGGGCAUAACUGACGCUGAGGCACGAAAGCCAGGGGAGCGAACGGG